RNAcentral lists this ribosomal RNA (253 nucleotides) under uncultured bacterium. RNAcentral describes it as "partial 16S ribosomal RNA". It matches the Rfam family "Bacterial small subunit ribosomal RNA", at positions 524 to 776 of the family's 1533-position model. The record is from RNAcentral.
UACGGAGGGUGCGAGCGUUGUCCGGAAUCACUGGGCGUAAAGGGCGCGUAGGUGGCCCGUCAAGCGCGCGGUGAAAGCCCGGGGCUCAACCCCGGGUCGGCCGUGCGGACUGGCGGGCUCGAGCACUGUAGGGGCGGGUGGAAUUCCGGGUGUAGCGGUGAAAUGCGCAGAUAUCAGGAGGAACACCGGUGGCGAAGGCGGCUUGCUGGGCCUUACCUGACGCUGAGGAGCGAAAGCGUGGGGAGCGAACAGG